AAAUGAAUAGACGGGGGCCCGCACAAGCGGUGGAGCAUGUGGUUUAAUUCGAAGCAACGCGAAGAACCUUACCAAGGCUUGACAUCCCGAUGACCGGUGUAGAGAUACACCCUUCCCCUGAGGGGGACAUUGGUGACAGGUGGUGCAUGGUUGUCGUCAGCUCGUGUCGUGAGAUGUUGGGUUAAGUCCCGCAACGAGCGCAACCCUUAUCUUUAGUAGCCAGUGGGUAAUGCCAGGCACACUAGAGAGACUGCCGGGGUAACUCGGAGGAAGGUGGGGAUGAGGUCAAAUCAUCAUGCCCCUUAUGUCUUGGGCUACACACGUGCUACAAUGGCUGUAACAAAGUGAUGCAAGCACGCGAGUGUGAGCUAAACACAAAAAAGCAGUCCCAGUUCGGAUUGUAGGCUGCAACCCGCCUGCAUGAAGUCGGAAUCGCUAGUAAUCGCGAAUCAGCAUGUCGCGGUGAAUACGUUCCCGGGCCUUGUACACACCGCCCGU
RNAcentral lists this ribosomal RNA (498 nucleotides) under uncultured bacterium. RNAcentral's name for it is "bacterial SSU rRNA". It matches the Rfam family "Bacterial small subunit ribosomal RNA", at positions 903 to 1397 of the family's 1533-position model. The record is from RNAcentral.